Molecule: ribosomal RNA, 425 nt
Filed under: uncultured bacterium
Lineage: Bacteria
Description: bacterial SSU rRNA
Rfam family: Bacterial small subunit ribosomal RNA
Source: RNAcentral
GGGGAAUUUUGGACAAUGGGCGCAAGCCUGAUCCAGCCAUGCCGCGUGAGUGAAGAAGGCCUUCGGGUUGUAAAGCUCUUUCGGCCGGGAAGAAAUCGUGUUCUCUAACAUAGGACAUGGAUGACGGUACCGGACUAAGAAGCACCGGCUAACUACGUGCCAGCAGCCGCGGUAAUACGUAGGGUGCGAGCGUUAAUCGGAAUUACUGGGCGUAAAGCGUGCGCAGGUGGUUUGCUAAGACAGGUGUGAAAUCCCCGGGCUUAACCUGGGAACUGCGCUUGUGACUGGCAGGCUAGAGUACGGCAGAGGGGGGUGGAAUUCCUGGUGUAGCAGUGAAAUGCGUAGAGAUCAGGAGGAACACCGAUGGCGAAGGCGGCUACCUGGACCGAUAUUGACGCUGAGACGCGAAAGCGUGGGGAGCAAAC